RNAcentral lists this unclassified non-coding RNA (363 nucleotides) under uncultured fungus. Its description in RNAcentral is "sequence contains ITS1". The stretch from base 1 to 104 matches the Rfam family "5.8S ribosomal RNA", at positions 50 to 154 of the family's 154-position model. Lineage: Eukaryota; Fungi. The record is from RNAcentral.
GAAAUGCGAUACGUAAUGUGAAUUGCAGGAGUAGUGAAUCAUCAAACCUUUGAACGCAAGUUGCGCCCCCAGGCACUCCUGGGAGCACGCUUGUUUGAGCGUCACCCACCUUCCUCGCACUCUCUCCCUGUCGUGGGGAAGCAGAGCAAGGACACGGGUCCCUCUUCCCUCGUGGUCGAGGCACUUCAGUCGGAGUGGAGGUACAGCUAAGCGGAACAGCUCACCAGUGCAGCAGUCGGACAGCCUUGCUGAACGCUCUGUGCUCGAGCUGAUUUGCCUGCAGUUACUUCCAGGGAAGCCUUUCCAAAGGCAACACCCUUUAUCCGUGACCUCAAAUCAAGCGGAGCCACCCGCUGAAUUUAA